Schizosaccharomyces pombe (fission yeast) is the source of this 470-nucleotide non-coding RNA. The record is from the annotation of a GenBank genome assembly. Lineage: Eukaryota; Fungi; Ascomycota; Schizosaccharomycetes; Schizosaccharomycetales; Schizosaccharomycetaceae.
AUAAGGAAACCCCACAACCAGUUACCAGUGGUAGCGACGGCAGCACACUUGGAACGAUAACGAAUGGGAUACGAUUCACCAACGAUAACGUAUGCGGCAGGACCCCAAGUUUGAGCAAAACUGAAAAUGAAAAGACAUGAGAACACAAUCAUAACGGCACCGGCACGAUGGUUUGAGGUACCAUUCUUACGAGUAAGAGCACGAUUACCAACAGCUGCGUAAAUGAAGAAAGUAAUGGAUUGCCAAACACCACCAAUAAUCAAUGGCAUACGACGACCAAAGAACUCUAGGACGAAAAGACCACCAAACGUACAUCCAAAGUUAACGGCAUCAAGAAUCAAAGCAGAAAGAUAAGGAGAGUUCAUACCAGUACCCUCAAACACCUCGAAACCAUAGUAGAAGUAGUAGUUAUCACCGGUAAGUUGUUGAAGAGACAUGACACCAAGACCAAGGAAGGUACGAUAACGAAU